GUGCCAGCAGCCGCGGUAAUACGUAGGUGGCAAGCGUUAUCCGGAAUUAUUGGGCGUAAAGCGCGCGUAGGCGGUUUUUUAAGUCUGAUGUGAAAGCCCACGGCUCAACCGUAGAGGGUCAUUGGAAACUGGAAAACUUGAGUGCAGAAGAGGAAAGUGGAAUUCCAUGUGUAGCGGUGAAAUGCGCAGAGAUAUGGAGGAACACCAGUGGCGAAGGCGACUUUCUGGUCUGUAACUGACGCUGAUGUGCGAAAGCGUGGGGAUCAAACAGGAUUAGAUAC
RNAcentral lists this ribosomal RNA (281 nucleotides) under uncultured Staphylococcus sp. Its description in RNAcentral is "partial 16S ribosomal RNA". It matches the Rfam family "Bacterial small subunit ribosomal RNA", at positions 505 to 785 of the family's 1533-position model. The record is from RNAcentral. Lineage: Bacteria; Bacillati; Bacillota; Bacilli; Caryophanales; Staphylococcaceae.